This 543-nucleotide long non-coding RNA is filed under the name Nicotiana tabacum (common tobacco). Its description in RNAcentral is "long non-coding RNA (NTAB_LNC000910)". Lineage: Eukaryota; Viridiplantae; Streptophyta; Magnoliopsida; Solanales; Solanaceae. The record is from RNAcentral.
UGUCCCCAGCCAUCAGCAUUAGGGUUUUAAAUCCUAAACUGAAUUUUCCUUUUAGUCAGCAUUAGGGUUUUAAACCCUAAACUGAACUUUUUUCAUUCAGCCAGCAUUAGGGUUUUAAAACCCUAAACUAAGCUUUUCCAUGCAAUCAGCAUUAGGGUUUUAAACCCUAAACUGAAUUUUCCUUUUAGUCAGCAUUAGGGUUUUAAACCCUAAACUGAACUUUUUCCAUUCAGCCAGCAUUAGGGUUUUAAACCCUAAACUGAGCUUUUCCAUGCAAUCAGCAUUAGGGUUUUAAACCCUAAACUGAAUUUUCCUUUUAGUCAGCAUUAGGAUUUUAAACCCUAAACUGAACUUUUCCAUUCAGCCAGCAUUACGGUUUUAAACCCUAAACUGAGCUUUUUCAUGCAAUCAGCAUUAGGGUUUUAAACCUAAACUAAAUUUUCCUUUUAGUCAGCAUUAGGGUUUUAAACCCUAAACUGAACUUUUUCCAUUCAGCCAGCAUUAGGGUUUUAAACCCUAAACUGAACUUUUUCCAUUUUAGUC